UGGGAGUUGAGCAUCUCAGACGAGCUGACAGCUUCAUUGCUAGAUUCUUGGCAGAACAUAUGGAUCUUUACUCCAGGAAAAGAAUGAGGUUUCAUGCAGUGUCAAAAAGUACAGCCACAGCACGGGCAUGGCCAUCCUGAAGAAGAGAGGUGGAGGGGGCUGUCCUGGUCCCGAGGCCUGUGCCUAGGGGUCCCAGUGCAAGCCUGCAAGAGGACAGAUACCACUGGAGUGCCGGCUGG
RNAcentral lists this long non-coding RNA (239 nucleotides) under Lepisosteus oculatus (spotted gar). Its description in RNAcentral is "lncRNA (ENSLOCG00000021725.1)". The record is from RNAcentral. Lineage: Eukaryota; Metazoa; Chordata; Actinopteri; Semionotiformes; Lepisosteidae.